CUGGACGGCCAGUGGGAACUCCUCAGAGAGCACUCAGCCAGACGGACCUGCUUUCUCCUUCUGGUCCCUGUCCGGACUUCCAGGGCUUUGCCGUGUCAGGAGAAUAAGGAGUUAGACUUCACCCGUCCAGUUCUGGGCGAGAGACAAACCAGUGGAGAAUUUGCCCUACAUUUGUGAUUGCCUGCACAGCUGGAAGCUGGAAGAGGGAGGCGUCCACAACCCGCCCCGAAGAGCCCUUCCCUUACCCCAAGUCAAGAAAAAUAUGGAUCUGAAAUUUGCGCCGUGUUGCACAACACUGUCCAGCUGCAGAGAAACACGAGGCAAAAGGCUGAGUAGAGACUCGGGAGAGCAUCUCUCUCAGCCUGGGCGACAGGAGCGCUGGUCCCUUGGAGUCGGCGAGUGAGGGAUG
Alligator sinensis (Chinese alligator) is the source of this 409-nucleotide long non-coding RNA. RefSeq lists it as uncharacterized. NCBI's taxonomy places the organism in Eukaryota, Metazoa, Chordata, Crocodylia, Alligatoridae. The record is from RefSeq and is a predicted model, not a curated record. The transcript is spliced from 3 exons.